AUCGAACGCUGGCGGCAUGCCUUACACAUGCAAGUCGAACGGCAGCACGGGAGCAAUCCUGGUGGCGAGUGGCGAACGGGUGAGUAAAGUAUCGGAACGUGCCCAGUCGUGGGGGAUAACGUAGCGAAAGUUACGCUAAUACCGCAUACGAUCUAUGGAUGAAAGCGGGGGAUCGCAAGACCUCGCGCGAUUGGAGCGGCCGAUAUCAGAUUAGGUAGUUGGUGGGGUAAAGGCUCACCAAGCCGACGAUCUGUAGCUGGUCUGAGAGGACGACCAGCCACACUGGGACUUGGACACGGCCCAGACUCCUACGGGAGGCAGCAGUGGGGAAUUUUGGACAAUGGGCGCAAGCCUGAUCCAGCCAUGCCGCGUGCAGGAUGAAGGCCUUCGGGUUGUAAACUGCUUUUGUACGGAACGAAAAGGUUUGGCCUAAUAAGCUGAGCUCAUGACGGUACCGUAAGAAUAAGCACCGGCUAACUACGUGCCAGCAGCCGCCGUAA
RNAcentral lists this ribosomal RNA (500 nucleotides) under uncultured bacterium. RNAcentral describes it as "partial 16S ribosomal RNA". It matches the Rfam family "Bacterial small subunit ribosomal RNA", at positions 30 to 523 of the family's 1533-position model. The record is from RNAcentral.